CCUACGGGAGGCUGCAGUGGGGAAUAUUGGACAAUGGGCGAAAGCCUGAUCCAGCCAUGCCGCGUGUGUGAAGAAGGCCUUCGGGUUGUAAAGCACUUUCAGUGGGGAAGAAAGCCUUGGGGCUAAUACCCUCGAGGAAGGACAUCACCCACAGAAGAAGCACCGGCUAACUCCGUGCCAGCAGCCGCGGUGAUACGGAGGGUGCGAGCGUUAAUCGGAAUUACUGGGCGUAAAGCGCGCGUAGGCGGUCUGAUAAGCCGGUUGUGAAAGCCCCGGGCUCAACCUGGGAACGGCAUCCGGAACUGUCAGGCUAGAGUGCAGGAGAGGAAGGUAGAAUUCCCGGUGUAGCGGUGAAAUGCGUAGAGAUCGGGAGGAAUACCAGUGGCGAAGGCGGCCUUCUGGACUGACACUGACGCUGAGGUGCGAAAGCGUGGGUAGCAAACAGGAUUAGAUACCCCUGUAGUC
RNAcentral lists this ribosomal RNA (465 nucleotides) under Vreelandella stevensii. RNAcentral describes it as "partial 16S ribosomal RNA". It matches the Rfam family "Bacterial small subunit ribosomal RNA", at positions 338 to 795 of the family's 1533-position model. Lineage: Bacteria; Pseudomonadati; Pseudomonadota; Gammaproteobacteria; Oceanospirillales; Halomonadaceae. The record is from RNAcentral.